UACGAAGGGGGCGAGCGUUGUUCGGAUUUACUGGGCGUAAAGGGCGCGUAGGCGGCCGCUCAAGUCGCGUGUGAAAGCCCCGGGCUCAACCUGGGAGGUGCGCGCGAGACUGGCCGGCUGGAGUUCGGGAGAGGAGCGUGGAAUUCCCAGUGUAGAGGUGAAAUUCGUAGAUAUCGUAAGGAAGACCAGUGGCGAAGGCGGGUCUCUGGACAGUUCCUGACGCUGAGGCACGAAGGCCAGGGGAGCAAACGGG
RNAcentral lists this ribosomal RNA (253 nucleotides) under uncultured bacterium. RNAcentral describes it as "partial 16S ribosomal RNA". It matches the Rfam family "Bacterial small subunit ribosomal RNA", at positions 524 to 776 of the family's 1533-position model. The record is from RNAcentral.